RNAcentral lists this ribosomal RNA (662 nucleotides) under Citrobacter sp. RNAcentral's name for it is "bacterial SSU rRNA". It matches the Rfam family "Bacterial small subunit ribosomal RNA", at positions 68 to 719 of the family's 1533-position model. The record is from RNAcentral. Lineage: Bacteria; Pseudomonadati; Pseudomonadota; Gammaproteobacteria; Enterobacterales; Enterobacteriaceae.
GGUAGCACAGAGGACCUUGCUCCUUGGGUGACGAGUGGCGGACGGGUGAGUAAUGUCUGGGAAACUGCCCGAUGGAGGGGGAUAACUACUGGAAACGGUAGCUAAUACCGCAUAACGUCGCAAGACCAAAGAGGGGGACCUUCGGGCCUCUUGCCAUCGGAUGUGCCCAGAUGGGAUUAGCUAGUAGGUGGGGUAACGGCUCACCUAGGCGACGAUCCCUAGCUGGUCUGAGAGGAUGACCAGCCACACUGGAACUGAGACACGGUCCAGACUCCUACGGGAGGCAGCAGUGGGGAAUAUUGCACAAUGGGCGCAAGCCUGAUGCAGCCAUGCCGCGUGUAUGAAGAAGGCCUUCGGGUUGUAAAGUACUUUCAGCGAGGAGGAAGGUGUUGAGGUUAAUAACCGCAGCGAUUGACGUUACUCGCAGAAGAAGCACCGGCUAACUCCGUGCCAGCAGCCGCGGUAAUACGGAGGGUGCAAGCGUUAAUCGGAAUUACUGGGCGUAAAGCGCACGCAGGCGGUCUGUCAAGUCGGAUGUGAAAUCCCCGGGCUCAACCUGGGAACUGCAUCCGAAACUGGCAGGCUAGAGUCUUGUAGAGGGGGGUAGAAUUCCAGGUGUAGCGGUGAAAUGCGUAGAGAUCUGGAGGAAUACCGGUGGCGAA